AACGAACGCUGGCGGCAUGCCUAACACAUGCAAGUCGAACGAGACCUUCGGGUCUAGUGGCGCACGGGUGCGUAACGCGUGGGAACCUGCCCUUAGGUUCGGAGUAACUCCCCGAAAGGGGUGCUAAUACCGGAUAAUGUCUUCGGACCAAAGAUUUAUCGCCUUUGGAUGGGCCCGCGUUGGAUUAGCUAGUUGGUAGGGUAAAAGCCUACCAAGGCGACGAUCCAUAGCUGGUCUGAGAGGAUGAUCAGCCACACUGGGACUGAGACACGGCCCAGACUCCUACGGGAGGCAGCAGUGGGGAAUAUUGGACAAUGGGCGAAAGCCAGAUCCAGCAAUGCCGCGUGAGUGAUGAAGGCCUUAGGGUUGUAAAGCUCUUUUACCCGGGAUGAUGAUGACAGUACCGGGAGAAUAAGCUCCGGCUAACUCCGUG
Molecule: ribosomal RNA, 433 nt
Filed under: uncultured bacterium
Lineage: Bacteria
Description: partial 16S ribosomal RNA
Rfam family: Bacterial small subunit ribosomal RNA
Source: RNAcentral